Molecule: small RNA, 1706 nt
Filed under: Pongo abelii (Sumatran orangutan)
Lineage: Eukaryota; Metazoa; Chordata; Mammalia; Primates; Hominidae
Description: retained intron
Source: RNAcentral
ACAGAGUCUCAUUACCCAGGCUGACCUUGAUCUCCUGGGCCCAAGCAGUCCUCCCACCUCAGCCUCUCCAGUAGUUGGGACUGCAGGCAUGCACCACUGUGCCAGGCUAAACCGUAACAUUUUCUUGUGGUUGAUUACCUCACCCUUGAGACUCAGUAGUUCUUGAUGUCUUUCCUUGUAGGAAAGCAGCUGCUGUUUUGGAUCUCAGUUUGAUUGAAGUGGUGACUAUCCCUUUGGUACCAUUGAGACCAGAAACCAGACCACCAAUUGGACAUUGUUUUUUUCUGGUUAUCCUGUCCUGCCUUACUAUGAGAUUUACGGAUGUUUGGGGACACAGGUCUCUGGGCUCAUUUCUUUUUCUGAGGAUUCAUAUAAUUCCCUAGUUUUUGGCUUAGAGGUUGGUCCUUCCCUGGUUUAAUGAUGCUUUUGUUCAGACUGUCCUCUAGGACUUGAAUUUGGAGCAGAAACAGAACAGCACCUGAUCCUCAGUUAUACUGCAAAGCAGGGCCUCAGAAAGGGUAACUCCAAUUACUGACUUUCACCUAAGGUGAAAAAGCAUCCAGCUUCUUUCCCCUUGGCAUCUUUGGAUCUUCUGAGAAUGGUGGCUGAAGGCAGAGGGCCUGGGGACAAGCCAGCCUGGACAUGACUCCUCUGCUGCUUAUUAAUUCCUUACCUGAACUACUCUUGGAACCUCGAUUCCUUCAUGGGCAAAAUGGUCACAUAAUAGCACCAUCACAAGACUUGCCAGGAAUCUAGAGCAAGAGGAUAACAUCUAAAGCAUCUAGCUUAGGUCCUUACACCUGGAAGGUAUUAAAUACAGGCUAGCUCCUUCCAUAGAUGCCCAUCCAAAGAUGCAUAAAUGAGGUGGCAGGGGAUUAAACUAUAUGACCUCUGAGAUCCUUUCCAGUUCUUAGUUUUGAGGGGGGUCAAUGGCAGUAAUUCAGAUAUAUUGUUUUAUCAUAGUUAAUUGAGUAUCAACAUGUCAAAUUGGCAUUUAUUGUGUUACCUUGGGCAAAUGAUAUAACUUAAGUCUUAAUUUUCUUUAUUCUUGAAAUGGGAUAGUAAGAGUACCUACCUCAUAAUGUUAUGAAGGUUUAAUGAGAUAGCCUCAUGCCAGGCAGAGUACACAGUAAGUGCUCAAUACUUAACUAUUACUGUUAGAUGUUGGUUUGCUUAUUCUUCUGGCUCUGAUUUUUUUCCCCUUUACUCUUUUUGUUUUUGUUUGCAUUUCAGGGUGAAACUUCCUACAUCCGAGUUUAUCCUGAGAGAAGCACCAGCUAUGGCUACUCACGGUCUCGGUCUGGGUCAAGGGGCCGUGACUCUCCAUACCAAAGCAGGGGUUCCCCACACUACUUCUCUCCUUUCAGGCCCUACUGAGACAGGUGAUGGGAAUUUUUCCUUUAUUUUUUAGGUUAACUGAGCUGCUUUGUGCUCAGAAUCUACAUUCCAGAUUGAGGAUUUAGUGUCUUAGGAAAUUUUUUUAAUUUUUUUUUUUUUAAAAGAAGAAAAAAAAACUACAUAAUUUCUACCAGGGCCAUAUUAGCAGUGAAACAUUUUAAACUGCAGAAAUUGUGGUUUUGGUUCAGAAACAAGUUGUAUAUUUUUCACCCCUGAUUAUGGGAAAAAAAUCAGUUCUGUCUUUGUGGGUUGCUCUACUAUGGAGAUCAACAGUUACUGUGACUGAGUCGGCCCAUUCUGUUUAGAAA